GCAAGGUCCGUGCCACGGGCCGCGGGAAGACGGGGGGGGCAAGCGUUGGUCGGAAUGACUGGGCGUAAAGGGCGCGUAGGCGGCCCGCUAAGUCGAACGGGAAAUCCCGUAGCUCAACGCGGGAACUGCGUCCGAUACUGGCGGGCUUGAAUCCGUGAGAGGGAUGCGGAAUUCCAGGUGUAGCGGUGAAAUGCGUAGAUAUCUGGAGGAACACCGGUGGCGAAGGCGGCAUCCUGGACCGGUAUUGACGCUGAGGCGCGAAAGCUAGGGGAGCAAACGGGAUUAGAUACCCGUGUAGUC
RNAcentral lists this ribosomal RNA (300 nucleotides) under uncultured Pyrobaculum sp. Its description in RNAcentral is "bacterial SSU rRNA". It matches the Rfam family "Bacterial small subunit ribosomal RNA", at positions 496 to 795 of the family's 1533-position model. The record is from RNAcentral. Lineage: Archaea; Thermoproteati; Thermoproteota; Thermoprotei; Thermoproteales; Thermoproteaceae.